This 500-nucleotide ribosomal RNA is filed under the name uncultured bacterium. RNAcentral describes it as "bacterial SSU rRNA". It matches the Rfam family "Bacterial small subunit ribosomal RNA", at positions 251 to 763 of the family's 1533-position model. The record is from RNAcentral.
GGUGAGGUAACGGCUCACCAAGGCGACGACGGGUAGCCGGCCUGAGAGGGCGACCGGCCACACUGGGACUGAGACACGGCCCANACUCCUACGGGAGGCAGCAGUGGGGAAUAUUGCACAAUGGGCGAAAGCCUGAUGCAGCGACGCCGCGUGAGGGAUGACGGCCUUCGGGUUGUAAACCUCUUUCAGCAGGGAAGAAGCGAAAGUGACGGUACCUGCAGAAGAAGCGCCGGCUAACUACGUGCCAGCAGCCGCGGUAAUACGUAGGGCGCGAGCGUUGUCCGGAAUUAUUGGGCGUAAAGAGCUCGUAGGCGGUCUGUCGCGUCGGAUGUGAAAGCCCGGGGCUUAACCCCGGGUCUGCAUUCGAUACGGGCAGACUAGAGUGUGGUAGGGGAGAUCGGAAUUCCUGGUGUAGCGGUGAAAUGCGCAGAUAUCAGGAGGAACACCGGUGGCGAAGGCGGAUCUCUGGGCCAUUACUGACGCUGAGGAGCGAAAGCGUG